AUUUCCGGGUACCUUUUGGUGCCUUCGCGGGCCGGAAGCCAGACGGGCGCGGAGCCCCCAAACCUUGUAAAAUGCAUUCUCUAGAAGAGACCCCCCCCCCCCCCAACCAGGAGGAAAACGUGAGCUUGUUUGAGUACGACUUGUUUCCUUCACCUGUAGGAACAUGCAAGUUGAGGCCUCUCAGGAUGUGAGAAAAACUGCAGAGGAAAAUUUCCAGAGACUUGGUGAAGAUAGGAAAGCUAUCAAAAAGACCAUAGGACUAUUGUACUGUAUUUGCUGUUUAUCCUGAAGCUCAGCUGAGGCAGAGCUCAGCUGAUCUCUGUUUCUUGACUGUUUACUUCCUAUUGGCCAACCAAGAUUUUAUUGGAGAAUUCUGUUGCACAGAGCCUGCCAUCGUCUGUGGGCCGUAACAGGAACAUGCAUUUGCAAGUGUCAGUUAGAUUUGUGGAUCAAUAAAGUUUUCCUGAAAGGUAUGUAUAUGUUAAUU
RNAcentral lists this long non-coding RNA (487 nucleotides) under Bos mutus (wild yak). RNAcentral's name for it is "lncRNA (ENSBMUG00000022081.1)". Lineage: Eukaryota; Metazoa; Chordata; Mammalia; Artiodactyla; Bovidae. The record is from RNAcentral.